Molecule: microRNA precursor, 70 nt
Filed under: Gallid alphaherpesvirus 1
Lineage: Duplodnaviria; Heunggongvirae; Peploviricota; Herviviricetes; Herpesvirales; Orthoherpesviridae
Description: microRNA iltv-mir-I4 precursor
Gene: iltv-mir-I4
Source: miRBase by way of RNAcentral
GUCGUGUAUGUAUAGCGAGCAAUGACCGUGUGGUUCCCUCAUCACGGAGUGCUCGUUAUGCAUAGAUGCC